This 520-nucleotide ribosomal RNA is filed under the name uncultured Spartobacteria bacterium. Its description in RNAcentral is "bacterial SSU rRNA". It matches the Rfam family "Bacterial small subunit ribosomal RNA", at positions 9 to 506 of the family's 1533-position model. Lineage: Bacteria; Pseudomonadati; Verrucomicrobiota; Spartobacteria. The record is from RNAcentral.
GAGUUUGAUCCUGGCUCAGAACGAACGCUGGCGGCGUGGAUAAGACAUGCAAGUCGAACGAGAUUUUCUUUGGUAGCAAUACCGAAGGAAGUCUAGUGGCGAACGGGUGCGUAACACGUGGGCAAUCUGCCUUAAAAUGGGGGAUAGCUCGGCGAAAGCCGGAUUAAUACCGCAUGUGAUCAGGGAAGACAUCUUUCCAACAUCAAAGUCGGGGCAACCUGACGCUUUUAGAGGAGCCCGCGGCCUAUCAGCUUGUUGGUGAGGUAACGGCUCACCAAGGCGUUGACGGGUAGCUGGUCUGAGAGGACGACCAGUCACACUGGAACUGAGACACGGUCCAGACACCUACGGGUGGCAGCAGUCGAGAAUUUUUCUCAAUGGGGGAAACCCUGAAGGAGCGACGCCGCGUGGAGGAUGAAGGUCUUCGGGUUGUAAACUCCUGUCAUUUGGGAACAAUGCUUAACGGUUAACUGCCGUUGAGUUGAUAGUACCAGAAGAGGAAGAGACGGCUAAACUCUGU